UACGUAGGGUGCGAGCGUUAAUCGGAAUUACUGGGCGUAAAGUGUGCGCAGGCGGCAGAGCAAGUCGAGUGUGAAAGCCCCCGGGCUUAACUUGGGAAUUGCGCUCGAAACUACUUUGCUGGAGUGUGGCAGAGGAAGGUGAAUCACGUGUGAGUACGGCUGGAAUGAACGUAGAGGAAUGUGGAGAAUGACCGGAAAGGCACCAAGUCGGCGAA
RNAcentral lists this ribosomal RNA (215 nucleotides) under uncultured bacterium. RNAcentral's name for it is "partial 16S ribosomal RNA". It matches the Rfam family "Bacterial small subunit ribosomal RNA", at positions 524 to 737 of the family's 1533-position model. The record is from RNAcentral.